GUCAGCUGGGCUGCUGGCUGCCAGUCCGCCUGCGUUAUCAAAGGCUGCAGACACUGCCCUGCCUGGUGGGAGGCAGGGAAGCUAGCCCUACCUAUCUGAGGCUCUGUGCUGCCUUCAGCCCUCCCACUCAGCCUCCUCCUAGCAGGUGGAGUGCUCCCUGGCCUGCCUGGAGCAGGAGAGGCACCAGAUGCAGGGAUCCCAGGGACAGGCUGAGUGGAGGAGGCCAGACCAGAACAUAGAAGACAAGAGAUGCUGGUGCCAGGCCUGCAGAUCCAAGAGCAGAGCUGGGAUGGAGGCAGGGCCCAGGAGCUUCGGGACCCAGAGUCUCCAUGCCAGCAGCUGAGACCCCUGCCCAGGCUCAGGACACAGUCCGUCUGCAGGAGCAGUUGCUGAUACUCACUGAGGUGAACAAGAGACUCAGAAGAGCUGGGCCAGAGCCACCAGCAACUAGGGGCCUGCUUGGAGCAGCUGCAGCAUCUGCAGGGAGAGCAGAUGGUGUUGGGGGGCCAUUGCAGGCCCUGGAGGCAGAGCACACCUGGCUACUUCAGGAGAAGGUGGGGCUGCUAGCAGCACUGGGUGUGGCCCCGGGCCAAGAGUCCUGUACACUCCAGGUCCUGGAGGUACCAGUGCCCCUCAGGAAAGAGCUAGAGGCACAAGAAUCACAUCCCAGGCUUCAUGAGGAGAUGGCUGAAUAUUGGAAGGCACGCUGGCACCGGCUGGCAGUUGCCCUGAAAUUUAAAGAGGAGGAACUGCAGAGACUCCAGAGGCAGAGUGGGACCUGGCCUCCCCAGGGCAGACCGCAGCAGAGACCCCAGGCCAGCCCCCGGAGUCUGCAAAUGAAAGGAGCUGUGGGAGCCCAGGUCUGCCAAGGAGCUGGAGUCUGCAGUGUGGACUCCACCAGAGGCCAAUGGGAGGUGGGUUCAGAGCUGGCUGAGAUGCAGACUGAGCUCGAGAAGGUCUGCAAUGUGCUGGAAGCUUGAGACUCAGAGCUGAGAGCUGAGCAGUGGGCCCUGGAGGCUGCCCAGGACCAGGUGCUCAGCAGCUGCCCCCCUGCACUGUGCUUCCGACUGGCCUGC
RNAcentral lists this long non-coding RNA (1076 nucleotides) under Homo sapiens (human). Its description in RNAcentral is "non-protein coding lnc-EDC3-2:9". Lineage: Eukaryota; Metazoa; Chordata; Mammalia; Primates; Hominidae. The record is from RNAcentral.